This 497-nucleotide ribosomal RNA is filed under the name uncultured bacterium. RNAcentral's name for it is "partial 16S ribosomal RNA". It matches the Rfam family "Bacterial small subunit ribosomal RNA", at positions 28 to 507 of the family's 1533-position model. The record is from RNAcentral.
GAUGAACGCUGGCGGCGUGCCUAAUACAUGCAAGUCGAGCGGACGGACGAGAAGCUUGCUUCUCUGAUGUUAGCGGCGGACGGGUGAGUAACACGUGGAUAACCUACCUAUAAGACUGGGAUAACUUCGGGAAACCGGAGCUAAUACCGGAUGAUAUUUUUAACCGCAUGGUUCAAAAGUGAAAGACGGUCUUGCUGUCACUUAUAGAUGGAUCCGCGCUGCAUUAGCUAGUUGGUAAGGUAACGGCUUACCAAGGCAACGAUGCAUAGCCGACCUGAGAGGCAGAGCGCCCACACAUGAACGGAGACACGGUCCAGACUCCUACGGGAGGAAGCAGUAGGGAAUCUUCCGCUAUGGGCGAAAGCCUGACGGAGCAACGCCGCGUGAGUGAUGAAGGUCUUCGGAUCGUAAAACUCUGUUAUUAGGGAAGAACAUAUGUGUAAGUAACUGUGCACAUCUUGACGGUACCUAAUCAGAAAGCCACGGCUAACUACGUG